UACGUAGGGGGCAAGCGUUGUCCGGAUUUAUUGGGCGUAAAGCGCACGUAGGCGGAUUGUUAAGUCAGGGGUGAAAUCCUGGAGCUCAACUCCAGAACUGCCUUUGAUACUGGGAGUCUUGAGUUCGGGAGAGGUGAGUGGAACUGCGAGUGUAGAGGUGAAAUUCGUAGAUAUUCGCAAGAACACCAGUGGCGAAGGCGGCUCACUGGCCCGAUACUGACGCUGAGGUGCGAAAGCGUGGGGAGCAAACAGG
RNAcentral lists this ribosomal RNA (253 nucleotides) under uncultured bacterium. RNAcentral describes it as "partial 16S ribosomal RNA". It matches the Rfam family "Bacterial small subunit ribosomal RNA", at positions 524 to 776 of the family's 1533-position model. The record is from RNAcentral.